UGUUCUUCGGCUGUGUCUGUGCAUUCCAUCGGAUCCAGGAGUGACGCGGCAUCCCUGCGGAGAGGGACAGCGCUUCAACUCACAGAUCCGCCCGUGACAGAGAUGUAACAAUAAUGUACAUCUCUAUGCCCUGACCGAAUUCAAGCCAAGAACAAGUUCUACCUGUGGAUCUUAAAAAAACAGAACAUGGCUCCCCUUUGUUACCUCACAGAUUUCAGGCUGGAUGGGUCAUGUUAUGAUACACGUACUCAUUCUUUUCUUCAAGCAGAGUAAUGUUUGUACUCAGUGUGCUGUCACCUGACUCAGCGGGAUAUAGUCUGGCUACUCACUAGGUCAUUUCAAAACAGACUCUUUCUUGAGCUACCAGCUGAACGUCAAAUGUCACAGAGGGUCUCAAAAACCUGGGUCUUUUUCUCAAAAGCCAUCAGGUAUCUAUUAUUCAGUGUGCGGAAAAUUUAUUCUUCUCUAUCCUGCUAAUUAUUAGUUAUCCCCCC
This is a long non-coding RNA of Myotis daubentonii (Daubenton's bat), 494 nucleotides long. RefSeq lists it as uncharacterized. The record is from RefSeq and is a predicted model, not a curated record. NCBI's taxonomy places the organism in Eukaryota, Metazoa, Chordata, Mammalia, Chiroptera, Vespertilionidae. The transcript is spliced from 2 exons.